This 1783-nucleotide ribosomal RNA is filed under the name Triticum aestivum (bread wheat). Its description in RNAcentral is "partial small subunit ribosomal RNA". Lineage: Eukaryota; Viridiplantae; Streptophyta; Magnoliopsida; Poales; Poaceae. The record is from RNAcentral.
CGGAAAAGAGUUCGAGAGCAGAGGUUUGAAAAAUAAAUUUGGGUGGAUCUUUUCGCUUCGGGGGGGUUUGUAGGGAGGAGAGGAGACGGAGAGCGUCUCAGUGGUUAGAGUGAGGGGGUGGGUUGGUUUUCGGUUUUGCGUGUGGCGGUGCCGCUCGAUACCUGCGGCCGCGCGAGGUCGAGCGGCGGCGGCGGCAACGGUAGCAGCAGCAGCGGCGCAACCAUACGUCUACCAAGGAACACCGCACGCGCCAGCCCCAGGCCUUCGUCUCUGGCGCCGAGGGCGGCCCGUCGUGCCCCGACGGGGACUAGCCGCUCUGCGACGCCGACUAGAGACGUAUGUUCUGCGGGUUGGGCCUCGGGAAGUAACUGCUCGCGCACCGCGCCGUGCCCCCGCAGAAGUGGUGGGUGUAGAAGCCGCUCGCGUGGCAGAAGAGGCGGCUGGGCCGGAAGUUGGCGGAGGAGGAGCGGCGGCUCCCGGCGCGGCACUCGACGUCGAUGGGAAGGAGGUAGUGGUGCGAGGAGCCGCGCGUGAGGGACGAGGAGUUUGCCCCGUGGCGGGUGUUCGCGGAGGUGAGCGAGUGGGAGUGGGCGGAGCCCGCGGGGCGGAGCGUCGGGGACGAGCGCGUGUAGCUCGCGGAGCACGAGCGGUGGUACGCGGUCACCCUCGGGUGGCGGUGGCACGCAGAGGAGCUGCUCCGUUUCUUCUAGUGGAAGUUGGAGUGGCAGUUCGUCGAGCAGUCGUAGCUCGGGCCCGGUACCUGGCUCUCGGAGGCGGCGCUUAUGCAGUUCGAGUAGCUACCGAAGAAGAGGUAGGGGAAGGGAAAGCGGAGUAAGGAGGGGAAGUGGUGGAUGCCGGUCCGGGAGUUCAGCUCCUUCUUCCACCGGCCUCGCAACUCCCUCCACUAUUCCUUCUCCUACCUCCUCUCUCCUCUCCUCUUACCCCAGUUCCUCCUCUACCUGCCUUUCUCCCUCUUCUUCCUGUACCACCUCCUCGAAGAACUCCGCCUCCCACCCUCGAAGAGCCUCCUCCUCUACCACCUGAAGACGGACAGGGACGAACAACGACCCAUGCUCUGGUGGAGGCAGGAGUACUGCCACCGGCAGUUCAAGGAGUGGCUCUGCGGCCGCCGCGACCGUGUCGAGUUCCUUCUCGUACUUUUAUACUGUUUCUACUUUCCACUUUUAGUUGGGGAUCUCACCCAGCUAAUGUUCAGUUACUGGAAGUGGGUUUCACACUAGUUACUCUGUGAAGCACACCGAUUGUAUUAGCCACCCCAUAAGUCCGCUCGUUUGUGACUAUAAGUAAAAUUUCCAAUGUGAUAGGGCUUCCCGACGUUUUAUAAACGAAGCAAGGCUCGACACGUGGAGUUGUUACUUGUGAUACUCUUACGGGCCUGCAAACUGGGUACCUCUACCGUCUCGUUGUUGUUUGAAGUCUUGCUCCAUCCCCGGUUGAAUAAAUGAGGGAAACCGCCACCUGGAGCCAACACGGGACCGAUGCUCGAGCGAGCCCAACAGUAGAGACAAAAGGAGGUAGUAGAACAUGACGCGAAAUCGACCCUUCGCCGACUCCUUCUAUCCGAGCAGAAGAAGGGGUGGUGAGCUUGGGAGUUUCCUAUAGGCUAGUUAGAGUCCGCCGCUAGCCUCAGACAAACUGCUGGAGUGUAACCAGAACCCGACGAGAUAGAACUUUCGCUUUAAUUUGUAUCUACUUCCUUCUCUUUCCUUUAGCCGUUCUACGCAGCAUGAUAAUAGUCGUUCUACGCAACGAUUCUUUGCUC